GACGAACGCUGGCGGCGUGCUUAACACAUGCAAGUCGAACGGAAAGGCCCUGCUUUUGUGGGGUGCUCGAGUGGCGAACGGGUGAGUAACACGUGAGUAACCUGCCCUUGACUUUGGGAUAACUUCAGGAAACUGGGGCUAAUACCGGAUAGGAGCUCCUGCUGCAUGGUGGGGGUUGGAAAGUUUCGGCGGUUGGGGAUGGACUCGCGGCUUAUCAGCUUGUUGGUGGGGUAGUGGCUUACCAAGGCUUUGAGGGGUAGCCGGCCUGGGAGGGGGACCGGCGCCAUUACGACUGGGAUACGACGCAGACUCGAACGGGACGCAACGGUGGAGAGGAUUACACAGUAGGCGGGAGCCAGAUGCGACAACGCCGCGUGCGGGAUGACGGGCUUCGGGUUGUGAACCGAUUUCGCCUGUGACGAGGCGUGAGUGACGGUACUGGGUAAAGAAGCACCGGCUAACUACGUG
RNAcentral lists this ribosomal RNA (468 nucleotides) under uncultured bacterium. RNAcentral describes it as "partial 16S ribosomal RNA". It matches the Rfam family "Bacterial small subunit ribosomal RNA", at positions 28 to 507 of the family's 1533-position model. The record is from RNAcentral.